AGACCCGAAACCCGGUGAUCUAGCCAUGGGCAGGUUGAAGGUUGGGUAACACUAACUGGAGGACCGAACCGACUAAUGUUGAAAAAUUAGCGGAUGACCUGUGGCUGGGGGUGAAAGGCCAAUCAAACCGGGAGAUAGCUGGUUCUCCCCGAAAGCUAUUUAGGUAGCGCCUCGUGAAUUCAUCUCCGGGGGUAGAGCACUGUUUCGGCUAGGGGGCCAUCCCGGCUUACCAACCCGAUGCAAACUGCGAAUACCGGAGAAUGUUAUCACGGGAGACACACGGCGGGUGCUAACGUCCGUCGUGAAGAGGGAAACAACCCAGACCGCCAGCUAAGGUCCCAAAGUCAUGGUUAAGUGGGAAACGAUGUGGGAAGGCCCAGACAGCCAGGAUGUUGGCUUAGAAGCAGCCAUCAUUUAAAGAAAGCGUAAUAGCUCACUGGUCGAGUCGGCCUGCGCGGAAGAUGUAACGGGGCUAAACCAUGCACCGAAGCUGCGGCAGCGACGCUGAUGCGUUGUUGGGUAGGGGAGCGUUCUGUAAGCCUGCGAAGGUGGCCUGUGAGGGUUGCUGGAGGUAUCAGAAGUGCGAAUGCUGACAUAAGUAACGAUAAAGCGGGUGAAAAGCCCGCUCGCCGGAAGACCAAGGGUUCCUGUCCAACGUUAAUCGGGGCAGGGUGAGUCGACCCCUAAGGCGAGGCCGAAAGGCGUAGUCGAUGGGAAACGGGUUAAUAUUCCCGUACUUGGUGUUACUGCGAAGGGGGGACGGAGAAGGCUAUGUUGGCCGGGCGACGGUUGUCCCGGUUUAAGCGUGUAGGUGUGUGUUCC
This 822-nucleotide ribosomal RNA is filed under the name Salmonella enterica. RNAcentral describes it as "partial 23S ribosomal RNA". It matches the Rfam family "Bacterial large subunit ribosomal RNA", at positions 711 to 1534 of the family's 2925-position model. Lineage: Bacteria; Pseudomonadati; Pseudomonadota; Gammaproteobacteria; Enterobacterales; Enterobacteriaceae. The record is from RNAcentral.